AGUCCCGCCCUCAAAUCCCGUGGGUCUCUGCGAGAUGGUAUUUAAGCGUCUCGCUGUGCAAUUCAGGUCCCGUUUUUCCGCUGUUCAGGGCUUCAGGCGCACGUGUGCACGCUGAAGAGCCGGAAGCAGCCCUCUUUGUUGCAUUCAAAAGACCUUACGGGUUGGAGGAUGGCACAGGACCCGUCCCCGUGCAAGUCGGUGAUGACAGUGGGUGUGCUCCAGCAUCGCCUCAUCAAUCCUGAGGAAUUCAGCUGUUUCCCAAGAUGACUUGCAGGUUGUCCUGAUGAUAAUAUAUUCACCUAUCUUAACGAUGCUCACUGAUCCGCCCAGGGUUGAAGUCUUGGAAACUUGAAGCCCAGUUGGAAGUGGAGCAAGCAGCUGGAUCCUGUAUACUACUGGAAAGCCUCCAAGGUUAAAAAGGCACUGUUACCAGUAAUCUGCUUAUCUACUCAAAGGUCCAGCGCCUUCUCUUGGAACCAAAGAAUGAUUUGAGGGGGUGUGUAAGCCAUAUCUCUGCUCAACUUCAUGCUGAAGUCAGAGGUCUAAAGAAAGAACAAAUGUAUGUAAUGGAUGUCAACUCUUCCAAAACAUCAAAAAAGGAAUUUUCAAGCAAUUUCUCACAUGCUCUGGCUGUUCAAAUUUGGGCAUAAUCAUUUCAGCUUUUAUAAAUAAAAGAUUUAAUCUUCAUUGUGA
This is a long non-coding RNA of Artibeus jamaicensis (Jamaican fruit-eating bat), 693 nucleotides long. RefSeq lists it as uncharacterized. The record is from RefSeq and is a predicted model, not a curated record. The transcript is spliced from 12 exons. Lineage: Eukaryota; Metazoa; Chordata; Mammalia; Chiroptera; Phyllostomidae.